AUUGAACGCUGGCGGCAGGCCUAACACAUGCAAGUCGAGCGGAAGAAGGGAGCUUGCUCCUGGAUUCAGCGGCGGACGGGUGAGUAAUGCCUAGGAAUCUGCCUGGUAGUGGGGGAUAACGUCCGGAAACGGGCGCUAAUACCGCAUACGUCCUGAGGGAGAAAGUGGGGGAUCUUCGGACCUCACGCUAUUAGGUGAUCCUAUGUCGGAUUAGCUAGUUGGUGGGGUAAAGGCCUACCAAGGCGACGAUCCGUAACUGGUCUGAGAGGAUGAUCAGUCACACUGGAACUGAGACACGGUCCAGACUCCUACGGGAGGCAGCAGUGGGGAAUAUUGGACAAUGGGCGAAAGCCUGAUCCAGCCAUGCCGCGUGUGUGAAGAAGGUCUUCGGAUUGUAAAGCACUUUAAGUUGGGAGGAAGGGCAGUAAGUUAAUACCUUGCUGUUUUGACGUUACCAACAGAAUAAGCACCGGCUAACUUCGUG
This 484-nucleotide ribosomal RNA is filed under the name uncultured bacterium. RNAcentral's name for it is "partial 16S ribosomal RNA". It matches the Rfam family "Bacterial small subunit ribosomal RNA", at positions 30 to 507 of the family's 1533-position model. The record is from RNAcentral.